Molecule: ribosomal RNA, 374 nt
Filed under: uncultured bacterium
Lineage: Bacteria
Description: bacterial SSU rRNA
Rfam family: Bacterial small subunit ribosomal RNA
Source: RNAcentral
GACAAACGCUGGCGGCGUGCCUAAAACAUGCAAGUCGAACGGACCCUUCGGGGUCAGUGGCGGACGGCUGAGUAACGCGUGGGUAACCUACCCGUGAGUGGGGAAGUAACCCUCCGAAAGGAGGGCUAAUACCGCAUACGACCACGAGUCUGCGGAUUCGUGAGGAAAGCCGCAAGGCGCUCGCGGAGGGGCCCGCGUCCGAUUAGCUAGUUGGUGAGGUAACGGCCCACCAAGGCUUCGACGGGUAGCUGGUCUGAGAGGACGAUCAGCCACACUGGCACUGCGACACGGGCCAGACUCCUACGGGAGGCAGCAGUAAGGAAUAUUGCGCAAUGGGCGAAAGCCUGACGCAGCGACGCCGCGUGGGGGAUGAA